Molecule: long non-coding RNA, 1096 nt
Filed under: Eucalyptus grandis
Lineage: Eukaryota; Viridiplantae; Streptophyta; Magnoliopsida; Myrtales; Myrtaceae
Description: long non-coding RNA (EGRA_LNC007246)
Source: RNAcentral
GAACCGGAACAUUCGAUCUUUACCAGUUGAUUUGGUUUCAAUCAAAAUACAAGACUUCCAGUAAGGUUUGUAAACUCAAAAGAACUUAACAAACUGAACUCACAAACUGAAACACUGAAUUCUUGCAAAUCGUGGAAAAUCCAUUAAACAUGUAUGGUAAUAUGCAUAGCUUUGUUCUUUUCUUUUGCUGUAAUACCAUUAAGUAACUACCCUUCAUAUUAGAUAUGACAAAAACCAUCUGAACUUGAUUAGUCUUCAGUUGUGGUUGAACAUGGUUCGGAAAAAGCCUGAACUGGAUUAUAUGAGAACGGGUGCACGCAUCAAACCUGGUAAGAGGCUCCGCAAUUUUUUGGUAGCGAAAUUAUGGUGAUAUCGAUGUCUGAAUCUGCGGGGAAACAAAUCAUCACGAGUCUUCUGCUUCUAUGUCAAAGAACUGGACUCUGAAAAGUAAUUUACUUCGAACUUGUUGCUAUAUCACAACUGCGGUGGCCUUAAUGGCAUCAGUGUCGGUCAUCGGUUCAGUUGUCUUGAACUUUCCUACUUUUCUAACUCAGAAAGCUGAGUUUUCGGAAUAUCCCAUUCCUCAGUACCUUUCAAGCGUUAUCCUGAUGCGGCGGCCCAGAACAAAAAACGAGUCGUCAAAGUCCUCCAAUCUGAAAUUGGCUUAAGAGACUUCCUGAAAUGAGAAACUUCAAUGGUGAACAAAAGAAAAUAUCUUUGAUUGUCAUCAUGUUAAUAUCUUGUGUAUUCUUUUUCAUAUCUUCAACUGAGACUGAAAAAUAGUUGGUCGCUAUUGCCGUCAAAGCAAACCUGAUCAAAACAAUUCUUCUCAAUUUGGCUGCUAAAAUAGGCGACCACUUCAGUGGAGGAUCUUUUACUCCAGGAAAGAUCUGAAGCUGACAAUUCUGCUCUUGGAAGCAUCCUCGGAUAUGCUAGGGUCAACGAGUAACAGAAGAAAGAGGCAUUUAGGUAACCCCGUCUUGGGUUCAUUCCUCGAACAGGUUCGUGAUUCAGGAUGAAUAGCGAGAUCACUGAUCUCGUGGACAAUAGGCGAGGAUGAGACCAAUGACCCGGCCAAACUCAGUGGCUGCCGACC